UCGAGGAUACAAGUGUGCUGAGGCCGCUGGUUUUUAACCGAGUGAAGCCUUCUAAGAAAGGAGUGGGCCAUACGUAGGAUUGUGACCCUGAUUUUCCUGUGAUAAAGAAAAUGGAGAUUGUGCCAUUGACUGAGUUGACCCUCUGCUCCUUGAUCUCUUGUUGGAACUGAGCGUCUUGUCGCCUGUGAAGGAAGUGAUGGCCCAC
This 205-nucleotide long non-coding RNA is filed under the name Elaeis guineensis (African oil palm). RNAcentral describes it as "long non-coding RNA (EGUI_LNC080088)". Lineage: Eukaryota; Viridiplantae; Streptophyta; Magnoliopsida; Arecales; Arecaceae. The record is from RNAcentral.